AUGUUGACUGUCCCACCUGCGGAGAUUGGGCUUCCACUCUUGGGAAAAGCUGACAGACUCCCGUACCUCAAGAUUCCUGAAGAAGGGCACCAUGGAGAGGAGGAGGUGGAGACUUUUGCCUUUCAGGCAGAAAUUGCCCAGCUCAUGUCUCUCAUCAAUACUUUCUAUUCCAACAAGGAAAUCUUUCUUCAAGAGUUGAUCCCUACGCUUCUGAUGCCUUGGACAAGAUUUGUUAGGAGAGCCUGACAGAUCCUUCCAAGUUAGACAGUGUUAAAGAGUUAAAAGUUUACAUCAUCCCUAACCCUCAGGAACAAACUCUGACCUUGGUGGACACAGGCAUUGGUAUGACCAAGGCUGAUUUCAUAAAUAAUUUGGGAACCAUUGCCAAGUCUGGCAGUAAAGCAUUUAUGGAGGCUUUUCAGGCUGGUGCAGAUAUCUCCAUGAUUGGGCAGUUUGGUGUUGGCUUUUAUUCUGCCUACCUAGUGGCAGAGAAAAACACAACUACAAUAAACAGUAUGACUGGGAAUGUUAUUCCGGGGGUUCCUUCACUGUGAGUGCUGAUCAUGGUGAGCCCAUUGGCAAGGGCACUAAAGUGAUCCUCCACAAUAAAAAAGACCAGACAGAGUAUUUAGAAGAGAGGCAUGUCAAAGAAGUAGUGAAGAAGCACUUGCAGUUCAUAGGCUAUCCCAUCACCUUUUACUUGGAGAAGAAAUGAGAGAAGGAAAUCAGUGACAAUGUGGCAGAAGAAGAGAAAGGUGAGAAAGAAGAAGAAGAUAAAGAUGAUGAAGAGAAACCCAAGAUUGAAGAUGCAGGCUCAGAGGAGGAGGAUGACAGCAGUGAGGAUAAGGAAAAGAAAACCAAGAAGAUUAAGGAAAAAUACUUUGAUCAGGAAGAAUUAAACAAAACCAAGCCCAUUUGGACCAGAAACCCUGAUGACAUCACCCAGGAGGAGAAUGGAGAAUUCUACAAGAACCUCACCAAUGACUGGGAAGACCACUUGGCAGUCAAGCACUUUUUUGUAGAAGGUCAGUUGGUAUUCAGGGCGUUGCUUUUCAUCCCUCAUUGGGCUCCCUUUGACCUCUUUGACAACAAAAAGAAAAAGAACAACAUUAAACUGUAUGUCUGUCGUGUGUUCAUCAUGGACAGCUAUGAUGAGUUGAUACCAGAAUAUCUCAACUUUAUCCGUGGUGUGGUUGACUCUGAGAAUCUGCCCUGAACAUCUCUGGAGAAAUGCUUCAGCAGAUCAAAAUUUUGAAAGUGGUUCACAAAAACAUUGAUAGGAAGUGCCUUCAGCUCUUUUCUGAGUUAGCAGAAGACAAGGAGAACUAUAAAAAAUUCUAUGGGGCAUUCUCUAAAAAUUUGAAUCUUGGAAUACAUGAGGACUCCACUAACUGGUGACACCUGUCUGAGCUGCUGCGCUAUCAUACCUCCCAAUCUGGAGAUGAGAUGACUUCUCUGUCAGAGUAUGUCUCUCGCAUGAAGGAAACACAUAAGUUCAUCUAUUACAUCACUGGUGAGAGCAAAGAGCAGGUGGCCAACUCUGCGUUUGUGGAGUGAGUGCGGAAGCGGGGCUUUGAAGUGGUAUAUAUGACUGAGCC
This is an RNA transcript of Nycticebus coucang (slow loris), 1598 nucleotides long. It is a transcript of the gene named heat shock protein HSP 90-beta-like, with no coding region annotated. Lineage: Eukaryota; Metazoa; Chordata; Mammalia; Primates; Lorisidae. The record is from RefSeq and is a predicted model, not a curated record. The transcript is spliced from 2 exons.